GUGGCCGUAGCUCAUCUGGUUAGAGCGCUUGGUUGUGGCCCAAGAGGUAGCGGGUUCAAGUCCCGUCGGUCACC
This 74-nucleotide transfer RNA is filed under the name Chloroflexota bacterium. Its description in RNAcentral is "Chloroflexi bacterium tRNA-His". It matches the Rfam family "tRNA". From Rfam's summary of the family: Transfer RNA (tRNA) molecules are approximately 80 nucleotides in length. Their secondary structure includes four short double-helical elements and three loops (D, anti-codon, and T loops). Lineage: Bacteria; Bacillati; Chloroflexota. The record is from RNAcentral.